AUGGUAAGGUAACGGCUUACCAUGGCUACGAUGUCUAGGGGUUCUGAGAGGAAGGUCCCCCACACUGGAACUGAGACACGGUCCAGACUCCUACGGGAGGCAGCAGUGAGGAAUAUUGGACAAUGGAUGGAAAUCUGAUCCAGCCAUGCCGCGUGCAGGAAGACGGCCCUAUGGGUUGUAAACUGCUUUUGUAUGGGAGCAAUAAGAUCUACGUGUAGAUUGAUGAGAGUACCAUACGAAUAAGCACCGGCUAACUCCGUGCCAGCAGCCGCGGUAAUACGGAGGGUGCAAGCGUUAUCCGGAUUUAUUGGGUUUAAAGGGUGCGUAGGCGGUUUGAUAAGUCAGCGGUGAAAUAUUUCAGCUUAACUGGAAGGGUGCCGUUGAUACUGUCGAGCUUGAAUUCAGUUGCUGUGGGUGGAAUGUGUGGUGUAGCGGUGAAAUGCAUAGAUAUCACACAGAAUAUCGAUUGCGAAGGCAGCUCACAAAGCUAAUAUUGACGCUGAUGCACGAAAGUGUGGGGAUCAAACAGGAUUAGAUACCCUGGUAGUCCACACUGUAAACGAUGAUAACUCGCUGUCGGCGAUACACAGUCGGUGGCCAAGCGAAAGCGAUAAGUUAUCCACCUGGGGAGUACGACCGCAAGGUUGAAACUCAAAGGAAUUGACGGGGGCCCGCACAAGCGGAGGAACAUGUGGUUUAAUUUCGAUGAUACGCGAGGAACCUUACCCGGGCUCGAACGGUGCAUGAAUAGAUCAGAGAUGGUUUAGUCCUUCGGGACAUGUAUUCGAAGUGCUGCAUGGUUGUCGUCAAG
RNAcentral lists this ribosomal RNA (811 nucleotides) under uncultured bacterium. RNAcentral's name for it is "bacterial SSU rRNA". It matches the Rfam family "Bacterial small subunit ribosomal RNA", at positions 249 to 1059 of the family's 1533-position model. The record is from RNAcentral.